This 1372-nucleotide ribosomal RNA is filed under the name uncultured bacterium. Its description in RNAcentral is "bacterial SSU rRNA". It matches the Rfam family "Bacterial small subunit ribosomal RNA", at positions 28 to 1381 of the family's 1533-position model. The record is from RNAcentral.
GAUGAACGCUGGCGGCGUGCCUAAUACAUGCAAGUCGAGCGAACGGACGAGAAGCUUGCUUCUCUGAUGUUAGCGGCGGACGGGUGAGUAACACGUGGAUAACCUACCUAUAAGACUGGGAUAACUUCGGGAAACCGGAGCUAAUACCGGAUAAUAUUUUGAACCGCAUGGUUCAAAAGUGAAAGACGGUCUUGCUGUCACUUAUAGAUGGAUCCGCGCUGCAUUAGCUAGUUGGUAAGGUAACGGCUUACCAAGGCAACGAUGCAUAGCCGACCUGAGAGGGUGAUCGGCCACACUGGAACUGAGACACGGUCCAGACUCCUACGGGAGGCAGCAGUAGGGAAUCUUCCGCAAUGGGCGAAAGCCUGACGGAGCAACGCCGCGUGAGUGAUGAAGGUCUUCGGAUCGUAAAACUCUGUUAUUAGGGAAGAACAUAUGUGUAAGUAACUGUGCACAUCUUGACGGUACCUAAUCAGAAAGCCACGGCUAACUACGUGCCAGCAGCCGCGGUAAUACGUAGGUGGCAAGCGUUAUCCGGAAUUAUUGGGCGUAAAGCGCGCGUAGGCGGUUUUUUAAGUCUGAUGUGAAAGCCCACGGCUCAACCGUGGAGGGUCAUUGGAAACUGGAAAACUUGAGUGCAGAAGAGGAAAGUGGAAUUCCAUGUGUAGCGGUGAAAUGCGCAGAGAUAUGGAGGAACACCAGUGGCGAAGGCGACUUUCUGGUCUGUAACUGACGCUGAUGUGCGAAAGCGUGGGGAUCGAACAGGAUUAGAUACCCUGGUAGUCCACGCCGUAAACGAUGGGUGCUAAGUGUUAGGGGGUUUCCGCCCCUUAGUGCUGCAGCUAACGCAUUAAGCACUCCGCCUGGGGAGUACGACCGCAAGGUUGAAACUCAAAGGAAUUGACGGGGACCCGCACAAGCGGUGGAGCAUGUGGUUUAAUUCGAAGCAACGCGAAGAACCUUACCAAAUCUUGACAUCCUUUGACAACUCUAGAGAUAGAGCCUUCCCCUUCGGGGGACAAAGUGACAGGUGGUGCAUGGUUGUCGUCAGCUCGUGUCGUGAGAUGUUGGGUUAAGUCCCGCAACGAGCGCAACCCUUAAGCUUAGUUGCCAUCAUUAAGUUGGGCACUCUAAGUUGACUGCCGGUGACAAACCGGAGGAAGGUGGGGAUGACGUCAAAUCAUCAUGCCCCUUAUGAUUUGGGCUACACACGUGCUACAAUGGACAAUACAAAGGGCAGCGAAACCGCGAGGUCAAGCAAAUCCCAUAAAGUUGUUCUCAGUUCGGAUUGUAGUCUGCAACUCGACUACAUGAAGCUGGAAUCGCUAGUAAUCGUAGAUCAGCAUGCUACGGUGAAUACGUUCCCGGGUCU